This 273-nucleotide unclassified non-coding RNA is filed under the name Chytridiomycota sp. RNAcentral's name for it is "partial contains small subunit ribosomal RNA, internal transcribed spacer 1, and 5.8S ribosomal RNA". The stretch from base 1 to 47 matches the Rfam family "Eukaryotic small subunit ribosomal RNA", at positions 1785 to 1831 of the family's 1831-position model. Lineage: Eukaryota; Fungi; Chytridiomycota. The record is from RNAcentral.
AAAGUCGUAACAAGGUAACCGUAGGUGAACCUGCGGUUGGAUCAUUACCAAUUUUAUCUUUUUCUUUGUUUCUUUUGGGGGAAAACCUCUCUCGAAAGAACAAAAAAAAAUAUAUCUACCCAAGUGUGAACCUUCUUUUUUUCAUUCUUGAACUGAAUUUGAGUCUUCAAAGACGGUCCUUGAAUGAGAAAAGUACCCACGUCUUUUUUAUAAACUUUUUGAAACAAAUAUAAAAUUUAAAAACAACUUUUGGCAACGGAUCUCUUGGCUCUC